This 492-nucleotide ribosomal RNA is filed under the name uncultured bacterium. RNAcentral's name for it is "partial 16S ribosomal RNA". It matches the Rfam family "Bacterial small subunit ribosomal RNA", at positions 29 to 507 of the family's 1533-position model. The record is from RNAcentral.
AGUGAACGCUGGCGGUAGGCCUAACACAUGCAAGUCGAACGGCAGCACAGUAAGAGCUUGCUCUUACGGGUGGCGAGUGGCGGACGGGUGAGGAAUACAUCGGAAUCUACUUUUUCGUGGGGGAUAACGUAGGGAAACUUACGCUAAUACCGCAUAUGACCUACGGGUGGAAGCAGGGGAUCUUCGGACCUUGCGCGAUUGAAUGAGCCGAUGUCGGAUUAGCUAGUUGGCGGGGUAAAGGCCCACCAAGGCGACGAUCCGUAGCUGGUCUGAGAGGAUGAUCAGCCACACUGGAACUGAGACACGGUCCAGACUCCUACGGGAGGCAGCAGUGGGGAAUAUUGGACAAUGGGCGCAAGCCUGAUCCAGCCAUACCGCGUGGGUGAAGAAGGCCUUCGGGUUGUAAAGCCCUUUUGUUAGGAAAGAAAAGCAGCAGGUUAAUACCCCGCUGUUCUGACGGUACCCAAAGAAUAAGCAACGGCUAACUUCGUG